Molecule: ribosomal RNA, 484 nt
Filed under: uncultured bacterium
Lineage: Bacteria
Description: bacterial SSU rRNA
Rfam family: Bacterial small subunit ribosomal RNA
Source: RNAcentral
GAUCCUGGCUUAGGACGAACGCUGGCGGCAUGCUUCAUACAUGCAAGUCGAACGAUAAGGUCUCUUCGGAGAUACAUAAGUGGCGGACGGGUGAGUAAUAUGUAGGAAAUCUGCCCUAGAGAGGGGGACAACAGAGGGAAACUUCUGCUAAUACCCCAUAUGAGCGUACCUGAAAUGGUAUUCUUGAAAACUCCGGUGCUCUAGGAUGAGCCUGCAUCUGAUUAGCUUGUUGGCGGUGUAAUGGACCACCAAGGCGACGAUCAGUAGCUGGUUUGAGGGGAUGAUCAGCCACAAUGGGACUGAGACACGGCCCAUACUCCUACGGGAGGCAGCAGUAGGGAAUUUUGCGCAAUGGGCGAAAGCCUGAACCGCAGCAAUGCCGCGUGAACGUAGAAGCCCUUCGGGGCGUAAAGUUCUGUCAGUGGGGACGAAUUUUGACGGUACCCACAGAGGAAGCACCGGCUAACUCCGUGCCAGCAGCCGC